Molecule: non-coding RNA, 955 nt
Filed under: Striuntius lateristriga (spinner barb)
Lineage: Eukaryota; Metazoa; Chordata; Actinopteri; Cypriniformes; Cyprinidae
Description: 12S rRNA
Rfam family: Bacterial small subunit ribosomal RNA
Source: RNAcentral
CAAAGGCAUGGUCCCAACCUUACCAUCAGCCAUAGCUCAACUUACACAUGCAAGUCUCCGCAGCCCUGUGAAUAUGCCCUCAAUCCCCCGCCCGGGGACGAGGAGCGAGCAUCAGGCACAAAAUUUAGCCCAAGACGCUUGGCCAAGCCACACCCCCAAGGGAAUUCAGCAGUGAUAGACAUUAAGCCAUAAGUGAAAACUUGACUCAGUCAGAGCUAAGAGGGCCGGUAAAACUCGUGCCAGCCACCGCGGUUAGACGAGAGGCCCUAGUUGAUAUUAAAACGGCGUAAAGGGUGGUUAGGGACAGAAAAUAAUAAAGCCAAAUGGCCCCUUGGCCGUCAUACGCUUCUAGGCGUCCGAAGCCCCACAUACGAAAGUAGCUUUAACAAACCCGCCCGACCCCACGAAAGCUAAGAAACAAACUGGGAUUAGAUACCCCACUAUGCUUAGCCGUAAACUCAGACAUCCAACUACAAUAAGAUGUCCGCCAGGGUACUACGAGCACUAGCUUAAAACCCAAAGGACCUGACGGUGUCUCAGAUCCACCUAGAGGAGCCUGUUCUAGAACCGAUAACCCCCGUUCAACCUCACCACUUCUAGUCAUUCCAGCCUAUAUACCGCCGUCGUCAGCUUACCCUGUGAAGGUAAUAAAAGUAAGCAAAAUGGGCACAACCCAGAACGUCAGGUCGAGGUGUAGCGAAUGAAAUGGAAAGAAAUGGGCUACAUUUUCUACUACAGAAUACAACGAAUAUGCACCAUGAAAUAGUGCUUAAAGGAGGAUUUAGCAGUAAAAGGGAAAUAGAGUGUCCCUUUGAACCCGGCUCUGAGACGCGUACACACCGCCCGUCACUCUCCCCCACCACCACGCACCCAAAAUACUUAAUGCCAAAGCAACAAAAAGGGGAGGCAAGUCGUAACACGGUAAGUGUACCGGAAGGUGCACUUGGACCAAACC